This 72-nucleotide transfer RNA is filed under the name Awaous banana (river goby). Its description in RNAcentral is "tRNA-Thr". It matches the Rfam family "tRNA". From Rfam's summary of the family: Transfer RNA (tRNA) molecules are approximately 80 nucleotides in length. Their secondary structure includes four short double-helical elements and three loops (D, anti-codon, and T loops). Lineage: Eukaryota; Metazoa; Chordata; Actinopteri; Gobiiformes; Gobiidae. The record is from RNAcentral.
GCGGCAGUAGCUCAGCAUCAGAGCGCCGGUCUUGUAAGCCGGCCGCCGGAGGUUAAAUUCCUCCCUGCCGCU